GAGUUUGAUCAUGGCUCAGAUUGAACGCUGGCGGCAUGCCUUACACAUGCAAGUCGAACGGCAGCACGGGAGCUUGCUCCUGGUGGCGAGUGGCGAACGGGUGAGUAAUGCAUCGGAACGUAUCCUGGAGUGGGGGAUAACGUAGCGAAAGUUACGCUAAUACCGCAUAUUCUGUGAGCAGGAAAGCGGGGGACCUUCGGGCCUCGCGCUCUUGGAGCGGUCGAUGUCGGAUUAGCUAGUUGGUGAGGUAAAGGCUCACCAAGGCGACGAUCCGUAGCAGGUCUGAGAGGAUGAUCUGCCACACUGGAACUGAGACACGGUCCAGACUCCUACGGGAGGCAGCAGUGGGGAAUUUUGGACAAUGGGGGCAACCCUGAUCCAGCCAUGCCGCGUGAGUGAAGAAGGCCUCGG
RNAcentral lists this ribosomal RNA (411 nucleotides) under bacterium enrichment culture clone ALO1_GLFRUDD03GMTT3. Its description in RNAcentral is "bacterial SSU rRNA". It matches the Rfam family "Bacterial small subunit ribosomal RNA", at positions 9 to 420 of the family's 1533-position model. The record is from RNAcentral.